CUGUCCUCCUCUCCACUUGGUCACAGCCUGUCCUCCUCUCCACUUGGUCACAGCCUGUCCUCCUCUCCACUUGGUCACAGCCUGUCCUCCUCUCCACUUGGUCACAGCCUGUCCUCUCCGCAGCCCAACUGGAGGAACCAUUUUCUCCAGAUACUGGCUGGUUGCUAAGCAACAAUAUGGGAAAAAAUUUUCACACACGAGUUUAAUAACAGAUCAGAUCGUCCAACCCUUCUAUAUAGCAAUAACCUAUUGACGUGACUCAAAUAAGAUCUGAUCGCAGAUCCGAUUCACCAAUUGCCUACAGCAGAAAUCUGUUGAGAUGAUUCAGAUUUGUUUCUUGCAACACACCCAAAGGUUGGUGGUAUUUGCUUUCGGUGCAGCAUGGUAGUUGAAUAUGAUCUCCUUCUACAAUGCAGAUCCUCAAACCCCUCUUAAUCUUAACAGAUACCUGUUGCUGGGUGCAGAGUUAGAGAGACAGGCAGCAGAAACCUGUUGCUGGGUGCAGAGCUAAAGAGACAGGCAGUAGAGACUUGGCUCUAGAACACACUGAUCUAUAACCAACAGGCUCUAGAACACACUGAUCUAUAACCAACAGGCUCUAGAACACACUGAUCUAUAACCAACAGGCUCUAGAAUACACUGAUCUAUAACCAACAGGGUCUAGAAUACACUGAUCUAUAACCAACAGGCUCUAGAAUACACUGAUCUAUAACCAACAGGUUCUAGAAUACACUGAUCUAUAACCAACAGGCUCUAGAAUACACUGAUCUAUAACCAACAGGCUCUAGAAUACACUGAUCUAUAACCAACAGGCUCUAGAAUACACUGAUCUAUAAACAACAGGCUCUAGAAUACACUGAUCUAUAACCAACAGGCUCUAGAAUACACUGAUCUAUAACCAACAGGCUCUAGAAUACACUUAUCUAUAACCAACAGGCUCUAGAAUACACUGAUCUAUAAACAACAGGCUCUAGAAUACACUGAUCUAUAACCAACAGGCUCUAGAAUACACUGAUCUAUAAACAACAGGCUCUAGAAUACACUGAUCUAUAACCAACAGACUUGGUUCUAGAAUAUACCUCUAUACAUACAGUACUUUCAGCGGUGACCUGUCAUUCAGGGCUGUUUUGAGCCCUACCUGCUUAGCCCCCCCUGUUUUGCAUGUUAUUUUUAUCAGUUUGCAAACAAUAAAAAAAUAAUUGAGUUAAUAAAGCCACAUGCAAAACAUUUUUUUUCUUGAGUAAGGCAGCUCCAAAAUGCAGGUGUUUCAUCCUAGCUCAGUGAUUUCUGUGGUGGUGGAGCAGCCAGCGGGAAAUACAGGGCGUAGGGGUUGGUAACGUUCUCUAAUUGCGCCGUGAUUGGCUCAGUGUUGUCACUCAUUGGGAUACUAGGUCACCGCAAAAUCUACAGGGAGAGCUCGAAAAUUCAAGCCCCUUGGGUUCUGCCAUAGAUUUACAUUAGAAGUGCCCAUCCAAGAAGGCUCAAGAUCAUUGGCCACAGAUAUAAUUACAUCAAAUCACGUUAUAUGUACCGUUGCUUUGAUUGGACUGAUCAUGUCAACAUACUUUCAAAAUCUUAGCUAGCAAGCGGUCAUCAUCAUGCAUCAAGUCAACAAUCUACUGGCAAAUCCUUCUCAAGGUGAGAAAUUACAGCUAAAACGUAUCGGUGCUCGUCGGCUAUUGGACAUAAACAUUACACAAGUUGGAAAUAGGAAAUUCAACAAUGAGUGGUUUGGAAGGAAUCAGUGGCUAACUGCAAGCGUUGCUAAGCAAUCACUAGCCGGCUAAUCAGUGGAGAGGGUGUGUGGUCCAAGUCUGGGUUUAAGGGUCUCUUUUCCAAGCUUAAAAAGGAUAAACAUUCACAUGCAACACAAUGGCCCAUUCAAAACAACUGGAAACUCGGAAAUCUCAGACUUCAGUGAGUUCAAGACAACUGGGAACUCUGGAAAGAAAAUGUUUUAAAAAGAGUUCCCGACUGGGAAAAUGUGUUUUUAACGGUCAUCCAACUCGGAAACUUUCUGACUUUAAGAUUAUGAUUCACUCCAUUUCUUUUUUCCUGAGUUUUGUUUGUUUUCCUGAGUUUCCAGUUUUUCUUCCACAAAUGUCUUGUUAACAAACUAUAGUUUUGGCAAGUCAGUUAAGACAUCUACUUUGUGCAUGACACAAGUCAUUUUUCCAACAAUUGUUUACAGACAGAUUAUUUCACUUAUAAUUCACUGCAUCACAAUUCCAGUGGGUCAGAAGUUUACAUACACUAAGUUGACUGUGCCUUUAAACAGCUUGGAAAAUUCCAGAAAAUUAUGUAAUUGCCAAUCAGAAGCUUUUAUGGAUGUAUUUCAAGGCCUACCUUCAAACUCAGUGCCUCUUUGCUUGACAUCGUGGGAAAAUCAAAAUAAAUCAGCCAAGAACUCAACCACAAGCCUGGUUCAUUCUUGGGAGCAAUUUCCAAAUGCCUGAAGGCACCACGUUCAUCUGUACAAACAAUAGUAUGCAAGUAUAAACACCAUGGGACCACGCAGCCGGCAUACCAGGAAGGAGACGUAUUCUGUCUCCUAGAGAUGAAUGUACUUUGGUGCGAAAAGUGCAAAUCAAUCCCAGAACAACAGCAAAGGACCUUGUGAAGAUGCUGGAGGAAACAGGGUCAAAAGUAUCUAUAUCCACAGAAAAAUUAGUCCUAUAUCCACAGAACCUGAAAGGUCACUCAGCAAGGAAGAAGCCACUGCUCAAAAAUCACCAUAAAAAAAACUGACUACGGUUUGCAACUGCACAUUGGGACAAAGAUCAUACUUUUUGGAGAAAUGUCCUCUGGUCUGAUGAAACAAAAAUAGAACUGUUUGGCCAUAAUGACCAUCGUUAUGUUUGGAGGAAAAAGGGGGAGGCUUGCAAGCCGAAGAACACCAUCCCAACCGUGAAGCAUGGGGGUGGCAGCAUCAUGUUGUGGGGGUGCUUUGCUGCAGGAGGGACUGGUGCACUUCACAAAAUAGAUGGCAUCAUGAGGAGGAAAAUUAUGUGGAUAUAUUGAAGCAAUGUCUUCCAAAGGGACAAUGACCCCAAGCAACCUUCCAAAGUUGUGGCAAAAUGGCCUAAGGACAACAAACUCAAGGUAUUGGAGUGGAUAUCACAAAGCCCUGACCUCAAUCCUAUAGAAAAUCUCUGGGCAGAACUGAAAAAGCGUGUGCGAGCAAGGAGGCCUACAAACCUGACUCAGUUACACCAGCUCUGUCAGGAGGAAUGGGCCAAAAUUCACCCAACUUAUUGUAGGAAGGCUACCCGUAACGUUUGCCCCAAGUUAAACAAUUUUAAGGCAAUGCUACCAAAUACUAAUUGAGUGUAUGUAAACUUCUGACCCACUGGGAAUGCACAUGUAGCCUGUUUUAGAGAAAUGCAAUCAUUGAAUAUUCUAAGAGCUUUCAUUGGUUUCCUUAUAUUCCCCCUUAAUUUAUCUUACGGUUCUGACUUGGUGUACAGGGAAAACACUAAGAACGGCCCAUGUUCUGAAUUCUGUCACUGUACAUUUCAAAAGGGCUGAACAAAUAGUUAUGACUACGUGCAUUUUAGCUCGCUCAUUGUCUUAAUAAAAAUGACGGAUUUCCUCUUAUUGUGCCCUUAUGCCAUAGUAUGUACAUCUUAAAUUGUUAGUAGAAACCACAUUUGUUUAAGCAAGUCUGACAUAUCAGCUUUUUUAAAACUUUUUUUUUAAUAAGGCAGUAAACGAGGCUGAAUAAACUGUUUUGCUGCCAGACAAGGCUCCGCUGAUCGCCAGGUGAGGUUUCACUCCACGAAGCUGAAAGAUAAGCCGUGGUACUGGGACAGCUUUAUGUAAGCCGUAACAGUUUGUGGGAACCGUUAUAGUGCAAUUAAUGUAUUGUUUAGUGGCUUUGCUGGCAUGCAUUAAAAAAUAUAGAAUUUUUAUUUGGAGGGGGGGGGGGGGGUUCACCCCUCCAAGAUAAAGAAAUAAAAAAAUCGAAGUAAAGUUCUCCUUGUGAUGCAAGAGUAGAAAUGGUGCAUUUAAUUCAACGACGUUUCUGUGUUUUUAUAGAUGCAACGGAAAGACAAUGUAUCCCCAUUUCAGCCAUUAUCAUUGUUUGACAGGUCAUUUUGUAACAUUUCCGCAGGAGUACCAUUAACUGGGUGGGGGGAGGCACAAGAAAGAGUAUGAAAGUCACACGAGUAUAAUAAAAGCAAUCAAUCCAGUGAGACUUCAAUGAUAAGUGGAUUUUGUACCCCUCAAACACUGAAAAAGAGACCAACCCUCAGGUUGAUGAGUCAUGCAUUUUUGCUUACUCAAAAUAAAUACAACUGCCCGUUAGAAAUCUGUUGUGCUGGCUCUAUGCAGUCACCUCACCUAAAAAGGUACAGUUCUCAUAGUGGUGAAGUC
Molecule: long non-coding RNA, 4377 nt
Filed under: Salmo salar (Atlantic salmon)
Lineage: Eukaryota; Metazoa; Chordata; Actinopteri; Salmoniformes; Salmonidae
Description: lncRNA (ENSSSAG00000095717.1, ENSSSAG00000105029.1)
Source: RNAcentral